GUUACUAAUUCUUGAUAGAGGGAUAAGGUGGACUCUUUUCAGGUUGCUUGUUCAUGCCUGUUGCAUCCCCAGUGGGUCUGCACACUCAGCCAUCCCUUCAGGCACUCUCUUUUCUGGAAGUGGGGUGGAGUUUUAGGCUCCAAGUGAAAAAUGAUGCACGAACUCAGCUGUGAUAUCUGUGCAAGGAAGGGAAAACCCAAAGGUGUGGGUAGGAUGCCACUAGCUGGUCACUGGUUUGCUGCUUUGCCCUCCUGCUAUUCACAAGGUGGGAUUUUCUGUGGCAAACCUUCCUGGAAAGCAAUGAAAACAAAAAAUUAAAGUUAAGAUUGUUUAAAAAGUUCCCAACCAACCAUGUCAGCAAACGGGAGAGCUCUGUCCCCUUUGCGUAACUCCUGCCAUUC
Molecule: long non-coding RNA, 401 nt
Organism: Pezoporus flaviventris
Lineage: Eukaryota; Metazoa; Chordata; Aves; Psittaciformes; Psittacidae
Exons: 3
Source: RefSeq, a predicted model, not a curated record